Molecule: unclassified non-coding RNA, 145 nt
Filed under: soil metagenome
Description: partial internal transcribed spacer 1
Source: RNAcentral
UAAUAAGUGUUUUAUGGCACUUUUUAAAUCCAUAUCCACCUUGUGUGCAAUGUCAGUCGAUCUUCUUCAUGGAGAUCGACCAAACAUCAACCUUUAUCUUUUAACUCUUUGUCUGAGAAAUAUUAUGAAUAAACAAUUCAAAAUA